Molecule: ribosomal RNA, 497 nt
Filed under: uncultured bacterium
Lineage: Bacteria
Description: partial 16S ribosomal RNA
Rfam family: Bacterial small subunit ribosomal RNA
Source: RNAcentral
GAUGAACGCUGGCGGCGUGCCUAAUACAUGCAAGUCGAGCGAACAGACGAGGAGCUUGCUCCUCUGACGUUAGCGGCGGACGGGUGAGUAACACGUGGAUAACCUACCUAUAAAACUGGGAUAACUUCGGGAAACCGGAGCUAAUACCGGAUAAUAUAUUGAACCGCAUGGUUCAAUAGUGAAAGACGGUUUUGCUGUCACUUAUAGAUGGAUCCGCGCCGCAUUAGCUAGUUGGUAAGGUAACGGCUUACCAAGGCGACGAUGCGUAGCCGACCUGAGAGGGUGAUCGGCCACACUGGAACUGAGACACGGUCCAGACUCCUACGGGAGGCAGCAGUAGGGAAUCUUCCGCAAAGGGCGAAAGCCUGACGGAGCAACGCCGCGUGAGUGAUGAAGGUCUUCGGAUCGUAAAACUCUGUUAUUAGGGAAGAACAAAUGUGUAAGUAACUAUGCACGUCUUGACGGUACCUAAUCAGAAAGCCACGGCUAACUACGUG